UUGAACGCUGGCGGCAUGCUUUACACAUGCAAGUCGAACGGCAGCACGGGCUUCGGCCUGGUGGCGAGUGGCGAACGGGUGAGUAAUAUAUCGGAACGUACCCAGAAGUGGGGGAUAACGUAGCGAAAGUUACGCUAAUACCGCAUACGAUCUAUGGAUGAAAGCAGGGGACCGCAAGGCCUUGUGCUCCUGGAGCGGCCGAUAUCUGAUUAGCUAGUUGGUGAGGUAAAGGCUCACCAAGGCGACGAUCAGUAGCUGGUCUGAGAGGACGACCAGCCACACUGGAACUGAGACACGGUCCAGACUCCUACGGGAGGCAGCAGUGGGGAAUUUUGGACAAUGGGCGCAAGCCUGAUCCAGCAAUGCCGCGUGAGUGAAGAAGGCCUUCGGGUUGUAAAGCUCUUUUGUCAGGGAAGAAACGGUAGAGGCUAAUAUCCUGUGCUAAUGACGGUACCUGAAGAAUAAGCACCGGCUAACUACGUG
Molecule: ribosomal RNA, 483 nt
Filed under: uncultured bacterium
Lineage: Bacteria
Description: partial 16S ribosomal RNA
Rfam family: Bacterial small subunit ribosomal RNA
Source: RNAcentral